AAAUUGAAGAGUUUGAUCAUGGCUCAGAUUGAACGCUGGCGGCAGGCCUAACACAUGCAAGUCGAACGGUAACAGGAAGCAGCUUGCUGCUUUGCUGACGAGUGGCGGACGGGUGAGUAAUGUCUGGGAAACUGCCUGGUGGAGGGGGAUAACAACGGGAAACGGUUGCUAAUACCGCAUAACGUCGCAAGACAAAAGAAGGGGACUUUCGGGUCUUCUGGCACCGGAAGUGCCCAGAAGGGAUUAGCUAGCAGGUGGGCAUACGACGCUCCCAAGCCACUAGCCCUAGCUGGU
Molecule: ribosomal RNA, 294 nt
Filed under: Escherichia coli
Lineage: Bacteria; Pseudomonadati; Pseudomonadota; Gammaproteobacteria; Enterobacterales; Enterobacteriaceae
Description: partial 16S ribosomal RNA
Rfam family: Bacterial small subunit ribosomal RNA
Source: RNAcentral